This 301-nucleotide ribosomal RNA is filed under the name uncultured bacterium. RNAcentral describes it as "partial 16S ribosomal RNA". It matches the Rfam family "Bacterial small subunit ribosomal RNA", at positions 509 to 807 of the family's 1533-position model. The record is from RNAcentral.
CAGCAGCCGCGGUAAGACAGAGGAUGCAAGCGUUAAUCGGAUUUACUGGGCGUAAAGCGUGCGUAGGCGGCUUCUUAAGUCGGAUGUGAAAUCCCUGAGCUUAACUUAGGAAUUGCAUUCGAUACUGGGAAGCUAGAGUAUGGGAGAGGAUGGUAGAAUUCCAGGUGUAGCGGUGAAAUGCGUAGAGAUCUGGAGGAAUACCGAUGGCGAAGGCAGCCAUCUGGCCUAAUACUGACGCUGAGGUACGAAAGCAUGGGGAGCAAACACGAUUAGAUACCCCCGUAGUCCCUGUCUCUUAUAC